AAUUCAUAGGCCUUUUGGCUAAGAUCAAGUGUAGUAUUUGUUUUUAUCAGUUUAAUAUCUGAUAUAUGGGCCAUGUAUCCACAGUGAUAGAGUGUGUUCAUAAUAAUAGCUUGCUAUUACAUGUGUCGCCUGAGUGUUGCACUAUGAGAGAAUUCCUUAUUUAACAGUCCAAAA
This 174-nucleotide small nuclear RNA is filed under the name Triticum aestivum (bread wheat). Its description in RNAcentral is "U2 spliceosomal RNA". It matches the Rfam family "U2 spliceosomal RNA". Rfam says of the family: U2 is a small nuclear RNA (snRNA) component of the spliceosome (involved in pre-mRNA splicing). Complementary binding between U2 snRNA (in an area lying towards the 5' end but 3' to hairpin I) and the branchpoint sequence (BPS) of the intron results the bulging out of an unpaired adenosine, on the BPS, which initiates a nucleophilic attack at the intronic 5' splice site, thus starting the first of two transesterification reactions that mediate splicing. The record is from Rfam by way of RNAcentral. Lineage: Eukaryota; Viridiplantae; Streptophyta; Magnoliopsida; Poales; Poaceae.